AAACCAUUCGAAUGUAUCACCUUCGUAUUUUCGAAACCAUGUGCUCCCAGAAUGUGAAACCUGUUUUUAUCAAACCGUCGUCACCACGGCAGGCCUGAAAUCAUGCCUUUUAGCCCAGUGCUAACGGUAACCUUGCUAACAGAGGUCAGUACGCAGAAUGAACUUAAUCAAACAGCGGAAAUUCGACCUAUUGUGUAAUUUAUGUAAAUUUGCCCUUCAUAUGUUAUGUUUUAUGUCUUGCUUUAUGUUUCAGUUUUGCCGUUUGUGAGGUAUAUCAAACAAACGAGUGAGGCAUCAGAUACAGUGCCUCUCACUUUGACUAAACAGAAGCUGCCGCAGUAGCAAACUAGUGUUGUCCGUGUUUCCGUUAUCGGACACAUUUCGAUCUGCGUUUUUCUUCAUGGUACUGGUUAAACAAUUUUAAAUUUCGUCACCGUUUUUAACUACCAUUAUUCGUAUUAAAAGACACAGCCACGUUUAGCUUUAGACUUUAAUUCACACGGAGGAAACAAGGUCUAAAGUUAGACAGUAGGUGAACAGUAGUACAACUUUUACAAGGAAGACUAACUAUUAACUUCAUCUAAAUACAGUUCAGGAAAUGUUCUAUUUAGGUACAAACAUGUACAUUUUAUCAGUUUACAAUUACACAUGUAUGUAUGUAUUCUUUACUCCAAAAAUAAAUUGCGUUCUGUACCAAUAUUGCAGAAAAAGAUCACAUGUUCAAAUUGCAAAAGCCAGAGAAAAAGAGUACAGUUCAAUGUAAAGAGGAGAUCAUUAACUGAAAGGGACUUGGGUCACUAGAGCAACAGUCAUCUGUGAAGAUAAAGGUGGUUUCUACAAAUAAGGCAACAGUGAACUUCACAGUAGUUAUGUUGAACAUAGUUGGACAGCAGGACAGGAGUGCGUGGACGAUGAAUUACUGUAUGCUGUAAAGAUCAUCUAGUUUCCAGGCAUCUGAGGCCCCUGGUGGUUAUUGGCAGUGGAUUUUCAGUCACACUGAGCUUAACACAAAUGGUUCUAGUCAGGAGCCUGAAUUUUGUCCUCUCAGCUCCUGGGUAGACCUACGCUCCACUAUUUGAUUCACUUUGAGUUAUAGUAAUAAAUGUAGACCAUAGCAGGUACAAUGUUGCAGCAGCAAAGCAUAUCAUUGUUGUUUGUGAACUCAACAACAUAAAGCUAAAUUAGAAAGUAAGCAGUUGUUCCCAGAGAGAUUGUUGGCUGUUUCCUGUAGGUUUUACCAAAGUAUUUAUUUUCACCAAAUGAAAAAAAGU
Molecule: long non-coding RNA, 1271 nt
Organism: Cynoglossus semilaevis (tongue sole)
Lineage: Eukaryota; Metazoa; Chordata; Actinopteri; Pleuronectiformes; Cynoglossidae
Exons: 2
Source: RefSeq, a predicted model, not a curated record